This 202-nucleotide long non-coding RNA is filed under the name Carica papaya (papaya). RNAcentral describes it as "long non-coding RNA (CPAP_LNC007883)". Lineage: Eukaryota; Viridiplantae; Streptophyta; Magnoliopsida; Brassicales; Caricaceae. The record is from RNAcentral.
CUCAUACUCUAAUACAUACAAUCCCAAAUAGAAAGACCACCUGAACUUUAGUUACAACCUGAGGCAACAGAAUUUUCAGUGAUAAUAGACCUGGCCACCUCCAUAGCAAUAAUCUGUAGUCCUAAAGCAAGGUACAUCCCUUGAAGAAAUAGUUAAAUCCCUUACAACUAACACUCAAUAAUUUCAACAGGAAACAAGCGCA